AUUGAACGCUGGCGGCAGGCUUAACACAUGCAAGUCGAACGAGUGGCGGACGGGUGAGUAAUGCUUGGGAAUCUAGCUUAUGGAGGGGGAUAACUCCGGGAAACUGUAGCUAAUACCGCGUACCCUAGGAUGUGCCCAGGUGGGAUUAGGUAGUUGGUGAGGUAACGGCUCACCAGGCCGACGAUCUCUAGCUGGUCUGAGAGGCUGACCAGCCACCCUGGGACUGAGACACGGCCCAGACUCCUACGGGAGGCAGCAGUGGGGAAUAUUGCGCAAUGGGGGCAACCCUGACGCAGCCAUGCCGCGUGAAUGAAGAAGGCUUUAGGGUUGUAAAGUACUUUCAGCGGGGAGGCGUUACCCGCAGAAGAAGCACCGGCUAACUCCGUGCCAGCAGCCGCGGUAAUUC
RNAcentral lists this ribosomal RNA (406 nucleotides) under uncultured bacterium. RNAcentral describes it as "partial 16S ribosomal RNA". It matches the Rfam family "Bacterial small subunit ribosomal RNA", at positions 30 to 526 of the family's 1533-position model. The record is from RNAcentral.